RNAcentral lists this ribosomal RNA (467 nucleotides) under uncultured bacterium. RNAcentral's name for it is "partial 16S ribosomal RNA". It matches the Rfam family "Bacterial small subunit ribosomal RNA", at positions 28 to 506 of the family's 1533-position model. The record is from RNAcentral.
GACGAACGCUGGCGGCGUGCUUAACACAUGCAAGUCGAACGGAAAGGCCCUGCUUUUGUGGGGUGCUCGAGUGGCGAACGGGUGAGUAACACGUGAGUAACCUGCCCUUGACUUUGGGAUAACUUCAGGAAACUGGGGCUAAUACCGGAUAGGAGCUCCUGCUGCAUGGUGGGGGUUGGAAAGUUUCGGCGGUUGGGGAUGGACUCGCGGCUUAUCAGCUUGUUGGUGGGGUAGUGGCUUACCAAGGCUUUGACGGGUAGCCGGCCUGAGAGGGUGACCGGCCAAAUUGGGACGGAGAUACGGCCCAGACCCCUACGGGAGGCAGGAGUGGGGAAUAUGGCAAAAUGGGCGGAAGCCUGAUGCAGAAACGCCGGGUGGGGGAGGACGGCCUUCGGGUUGUAAACCGCUUUCGCCUGUGACGAAGCGGGGGUGACGGUAAUGGGUAAAGAAGCACCGGCUAACUACGU